This 595-nucleotide long non-coding RNA is filed under the name Equus asinus (donkey). RNAcentral's name for it is "lncRNA (ENSEASG00005026746.1)". The record is from RNAcentral. Lineage: Eukaryota; Metazoa; Chordata; Mammalia; Perissodactyla; Equidae.
GGACACCCAGGCUCGGAGAACUGAGGGGCGGGGCCCCGCGCGUACCCUGACCUCCUGACUCCAGUGUUCCCCCGACUCCAGGCCACCUGCUUUAAGAAUCCUAAGAGUUAGGUUUACUGAGCGCUUCCUGCGCGUGGGCACUGUGUAAGGAACCGUCCCAAACCCCUGACGUUGGCCUGGUCUCUGCAUCUUGCGGAAGAGAUCCGCCGAAGAGUAUGCGAUGGAGCGAAAUCCAAGAGGAAAUGGGACAGGAUGGAACGCACGACAAAUGGAGAGCUUAGACCCAGAAAGGAAGAGCGGACUCUAUUCCUCUGAGACGGCCAGGUGCCACGUUGUGAGCUGCCUGGUGGAGAGACCACACCGGCUAGGAACUGAGGAGGCCCCAUGGAGACACGAGGCCCGCCAACAACCACAGGAGCAAGCUCGGAGUGGCUCCUUCCCAGCGGGGCCUUAGAUGAUCGCAGCGCCGCCGACACCUGACUGCAGCCUGUGGGAGACCCUGAGCCAGAGCAUGCGGGUAAGUCUUGCCCAAAUUCCUGACGCACGGUAACUGUGAGCUAAUAAACAUUUAUUGUUUUACGCUGAUAACUUGGGG